GGGGGGACGCAGUAGGAUAGGCGAAGCGUGCUGUUGGAGUGCACGUCCAAGCAGUAAGGCUGAGUGUUAGGCAAAUCCGGCACUCGUUAGGCUGAGCUGUGAUGGGGAGAGGAAAUUGUUUCCUCGAGUCGUUGAUUUCACACUGCCGAGAAAAGCCUCUAGAUAGAUAACAGGUGCCCGUACCGCAAACCGACACAGGUAGUCAAGAUGAGAAUUCUAAGGUGAGCGAGCGAACUCUCGUUAAGGAACUCGGCAAAAUGACCCCGUAACUUCGGGAGAAGGGGUGCUCUUUAGGGUUCACGCCCAGAAGAGCCGCAGUGAAUAGGCCCAAGCGACUGUUUAUCAAAAACACAGGUCUCUGCUAAACCGUAAGGUGAUGUAUAGGGGCUGACGCCUGCCCGGUGCUGGAAGGUUAAGAGGAGUGGUUAGCUUCUGCGAAGCCACGAAUCGAAGCCCCAGUAAACGGCGGCCGUAACUAUAACGGUCCUAAGGUAGCGAAAUUCCUUGUCGGGUAAGUUCCGACCCGCACGAAAGGCGUAACGAUUUGGGCACUGUCUCAACGAGAGACUCGGUGAAAUCAUAGUACCUGUGAAGAUGCAGGUUACCCGCGACAGGACGGAAAGACCCCGUGGAGCUUUACUGUAGCCUGAUAUUGAAAUUCGGCACAGCUUGUACAGGAUAGGUAGGAGCCAUUGAAACGUGAGCGCUAGCUUACGUGGAGGCGUUGGUGGGAUACUACCCUAGCUGUGUUGGCUUUCUAACCCGCACCACUUAUCGUGGUGGGAGACAGUGUCAGGCGGGCAGUUUGACUGGGGCGGUCGCCUCCUAAAAGGUAACGGAGGCGCUCAAAGGUUCCCUCAGAAUGGUUGGAAAUCAUUCACAGAGUGUAAAGGCAUAAGGGAGCUUGACUGCGAGACCUACAAGUCGAGCAGGGUCGAAAGACGGACUUAGUGAUCCGGUGGUUCCGCAUGGAAGGGCCAUCGCUCAACGGAUAAAAGCUACCCCGGGGAUAACAGGCUUAUCUCCCCCAAGAGUUCACAUCGACGGGGAGGUUUGGCACCUCGAUGUCGGCUCAUCGCAUCCUGGGGCUGUAGUCGGUCCCAAGGGUUGGGCUGUUCGCCCAUUAAAGCGGUACGCGAGCUGGGUUCAGAACGUCGUGAGACAGUUCGGUCCCUAUCCGUCGUGGGCGUAGGAAAUUUGAGAGGAGCUGUCCUUAGUACGAGAGGACCGGGAUGGACAUACCUCUGGUGUACCAGUUGUCGUGCCAACGGCAUAGCUGGGUAGCUAUGUAUGGACGGGAUAAGUGCUGAAAGCAUCUAAGCAUGAAGCCCCCCUCAAGAUGAGAUUUCCCAACUUCGGUUAUAAGAUCCCUCGAAGAUGACGAGGUUAAUAGGUUCGAGGUGGAAGCGUGGUGACACGUGGAGCUGACGAAUACUAAUCGAUCGAAGACUUAAUCAAUAUU
Molecule: ribosomal RNA, 1462 nt
Filed under: Staphylococcus capitis
Lineage: Bacteria; Bacillati; Bacillota; Bacilli; Caryophanales; Staphylococcaceae
Also listed under: 1 other name
Description: bacterial LSU rRNA
Rfam family: Bacterial large subunit ribosomal RNA
Source: RNAcentral